AAGUCGUAACAAGGUUUCCGUAGGUGAACCUGCGGAAGGAUCAUUAAUGAAAUUAUGACUGGGGUUGUAGCUGGCCUAUAAAACGGCAUGUGCACGCUCCUUUCACAAUCCACACACACCUGUGCACCUUCGCGGGGGUCUUUUUUUCUCUUCGGGGGGAUAAAGGCUCGCGUCCCUUUACACACCCUUUGUAUGUCUUAAGAAUGUCUACUCGAUGUAAUAAAACGCAUCUAAUACAACUUUCAACAACGGAUCUCUUGGCUCUC
Molecule: unclassified non-coding RNA, 266 nt
Filed under: Stereum ostrea
Lineage: Eukaryota; Fungi; Basidiomycota; Agaricomycetes; Russulales; Stereaceae
Description: partial internal transcribed spacer region
Rfam family: Eukaryotic small subunit ribosomal RNA (bases 1-46)
Source: RNAcentral